AGUGAACGCUGGCGGUAGGCCUAACACAUGCAAGUCGAACGGCAGCACAGUAAGAGCUUGCUCUUACGGGUGGCGAGUGGCGGACGGGUGAGGAAUACAUCGGAAUCUACUUUUUCGUGGGGGAUAACGUAGGGAAACUUACGCUAAUACCGCAUACGACCUACGGGUGAAAGCAGGGGAUCUUCGGACCUUGCGCGAUUGAAUGAGCCGAUGUCGGAUUAGCUAGUUGGCGGGGUAAAGGCCCACCAAGGCGACGAUCCGUAGCUGGUCUGAGAGGAUGAUCAGCCACACUGGAACUGAGGCACGGUCCAGACUCCUACGGGAGGCAGCAGUGGGGAAUAUUGGACAAUGGGCGCAAGCCUGAUCCAGCCAUACCGCGUGGGUGAAGAAGGCCUUCGGGUUGUAAAGCCCUUUUGUUGGGAAAGAAAAGCAGCAGGUUAAUACCCCGCUGUUCUGACGGUACCCAAAGAAUAAGCACCGGCUAACUUCGCG
This 492-nucleotide ribosomal RNA is filed under the name uncultured bacterium. RNAcentral's name for it is "partial 16S ribosomal RNA". It matches the Rfam family "Bacterial small subunit ribosomal RNA", at positions 29 to 507 of the family's 1533-position model. The record is from RNAcentral.